ACCUUUUGAAGGCCACAUAACUUCCCAGCAGAGGCAGCUGGAACUGAGAAGCUUUGGCCUAUAAAAGGAAGCAGGCCCACAGAGGAGGAUAUCAACAGACAGAAGAGCUUUCAGACAGGUUAGUGGAAGCAGUGGAAGAGUUGGGCUUAACAUUGGAACAAGAUCUGCCUAGGAAGACUUCCAGAAAAGGUUUAGAAAGUCAAAAGAACGGAAGGAGUCUGUGGGCAGGGACCCAAGAGGGACAAACAAAUGUGACCAGAAAAGACCCCAAAGCCCAGAAAUUUGCUUUAAAUCCUCAGCCUACUUACACAAUCUGACGAAUAUCUGUCUUCUUAAACUUUUCACACAUCUUUUGAAAAGGUACGUGGUCACCAACUGACUUCAGCAAUGAUUUUUGCAGGCAAAGAAGGGAACAUUUUCAGCACUUUUGAGAGUCCACAGGUGUAGAAGAUGCACCCAAAAAUCGGGGGCUAACUUGGUCAGAAAUCACCUGCCACAAGGAUGGAAAUCCCUCUUCUGUGGGGUUAAAACAUCUCCUGGCAAAGCAGCACAGAGGUGCCAGAGACCUGCUCAUAAAAAAUGCCCACAACACGCAAAUAAAGGCUUCUCUAUUUCUAGGUGGUAUUGAAUGAUGUUAUUAUCAUUUUGUUUAAUUUUGUAUCUGUAAUAAACCCUGUUGUAAACCUUGGACUGUGGCAGCUUGUCACAUUAACAAACAUAAUGAAUGUGCAAUUAAAUGAAUUAAUGCAUAAGGUAAUGCACCAAUGAAAUAUUCCUCUCAUGCUGGAGUGCACCACACAGAAAACAGUGGGGGAUUUCUGCUAACUUUUACUGUGUGUGAAAGGCAAACAGACUGCCUGUGGUUUUAAUUCAAUGAUGAGAGCCUACUGUCUCUACCUGUUUGACCUGCCCCACUGGGGUCCAUGGUGAAGAAGUCCUCUUCAGCACAGGAUUGGGAAUUCCUGUUGGUUUGGCUCAUGUCUUUGCUUUUCACUUUUCUUAUGGCUGUAAGUUCUUCAAGAUCUUGUGUUUCUUUCUCUGUUGUAGAACAGAACUCGGAGCAAUAAUAUCUGAACAUAAGAACAGCUCUGGGAAAUCACCAAAUGGUAACCUGGAAAAAAGACUUGAAAAUUCAUUUUAAUGCAUUUCUUCAAAGGGUGGUUCCAUGGGAGAGAUUGAUGCUACUGAUGGUGUCUGCUGUGUGGAAGGGAGAAGACAAAAAGCAGCAAGUCUUCUGCAGCAGCUCUUCUGCAAAAAUCUCAGGGGUUGCCCCACACUUCCAAGGAAGUGAGGAGUCCCUGCAGCAUCACUGUUUAACAUCAGAGCACGGAGAGAUUUUACAGUGUAAAUGGUGUGAUUGCACAAAGCUCCUGCAGUAGGACCCACCAACAUAAUGAGUCCCAAUGAUGCAGUCCUCACAUCUGCCCUGAAAUUGAGUCAACCCUCAUCAGCAUGCACAGCUUUCCACAAAUAUGAGAGCUAUUUUGCUUGUGUGCAACUACCUGGACCCAGGUGGCUAAUACUAGUGACAAAUAACAGGUGCCUGAAAUACAUCAGCCCUAAAUUUCUCACCAAGGGAGAACAGGGCAGUUGUCACCUGAUAAGCAGUGCAGCGUCCCUCCUCUGCACCCCUUGCCUCUCCCAUUUUCAGUCUGGAAAGGUAAAAGGGGUUUCAGUCCAUCUAUUCAGUCAUCAGCUGCCGAACUGCCAACAGUUGUGCUAAUUUUCUCCUGCUGUAAUGUGGUGUUUAGUGUCUCAGCCAACAAUCAGGGAAGCUGCUGGAAAGAGUCCCACUGAUUUCAAUGACUGUCCAACAACAUGGAGCCAUACACGCUGAAAAUUAAGCACUGAUCCUCCAGACUCAUUUCACACAGGCCACAGGACUGUCCUCUGUUACUAGUAAUUAUCAUUAUUAUUGUCAUUAUGGGAUUUGAAAAAAAGCCCAUGAGAGCAGAUGGACAGUGAUUUUUAUCUAUCAAAAUUCUGCCAUUUAAGGAGGACUUUAUCAGAGCCUAAAACAAAAGAGAAUGGUUCCAGAUGCUGUUCUGUUCUCUUUCCAUCCUCCCAGCUGCUGACCAGUGAUGGUGUCCACAGCAAAAUUUGAAUUUCAUUCAAGUGAAAUGCAAAACCUGUCAAAAAAAAAAGUCCUUACAUACUGCAACAAGAAAAUAAAAGCCUUAAGUUGAACAGCAGAAACUGGUAAAGCUGCCAAAGGAAAAUUAGCAAGUUAGCUAAAGACAGGGUUCAUUAACACUUUUUAAUUUUUUAUUUAAUUAAAAAAAGAGAGAUGAUUGCACUGUAGUUUAGAAAUAGAACUCUAAUUUCAUCUUACAGAAAAUGGUGGGCUUGUGGGAAAGGAAUUUCUUCUGUCAACUCUGUACGGAUCCCAUUAACACUUCUUUUUUUAUUUUAUUAAAAGGAGCUCAGAAUCUAUCAACACUUUCAUCUCAGCUCAAUAAAGCUAAUCCUAGAGUCAGUUUUAA
Molecule: non-coding RNA, 2483 nt
Organism: Meleagris gallopavo (turkey)
Lineage: Eukaryota; Metazoa; Chordata; Aves; Galliformes; Phasianidae
Source: RefSeq, a predicted model, not a curated record